AUUGAACGCUGGCGGCAGGCCUAACACAUGCAAGUCGAACGGUAACAGGAAGAAGCUUGCUUCUUUGCUGACGAGUGGCGGACGGGUGAGGAAUGUCUGGGAAACUGCCUGAUGGAGGGGGAUAACUACUGGAAACGGUAGCUAAUACCGCAUAACGUCGCAAGACCAAAGAGGGGGACCUUCGGGCCUCUUGCCAUCGGAUGUGCCCAGAUGGGAUUAGCUAGUAGGUGGGGUAACGGCUCACCUAGGCGACGAUCCCUAGCUGGUCUGAGAGGAUGACCAGCCACACUGGAACUGAGACACGGUCCAGACUCCUACGGGAGGCAGCAGUGGGGAAUAUUGCACAAUGGGCGCAAGCCUGAUGCAGCCAUGCCGCGUGUAUGAAGAAGGCCUUUGGGUUGUAAAGUACUUUCAGCGGGGAGGAAGGGAGUAAAGUUAAUACCUUUGCUCAUUGACGUUACCCGCAGAAGAAGCACCGGCUAACUCCGUG
This 490-nucleotide ribosomal RNA is filed under the name uncultured bacterium. RNAcentral's name for it is "partial 16S ribosomal RNA". It matches the Rfam family "Bacterial small subunit ribosomal RNA", at positions 30 to 507 of the family's 1533-position model. The record is from RNAcentral.